This 468-nucleotide ribosomal RNA is filed under the name uncultured bacterium. RNAcentral's name for it is "partial 16S ribosomal RNA". It matches the Rfam family "Bacterial small subunit ribosomal RNA", at positions 28 to 507 of the family's 1533-position model. The record is from RNAcentral.
GACGAACGCUGGCGGCGUGCUUAACACAUGCAAGUCGAACGGAAAGGCCCUGCUUUUGUGGGGUGCUCGAGUGGCGAACGGGUGAGUAACACGUGAGUAACCUGCCCUUGACUUUGGGAUAACUUCAGGAAACUGGGGCUCAUACCGGAUAGGAGCUCCUGCUGCAUGGUGGGGGUUGGAAAGAUUCGGCGGUUGGGGAUGGACUCGCGGCUUAUCAGCUUGUUGGUGGGGUUGUGGCUUACGAAGGCUUUGAAGGGUAGCCGGCCUGAGAGGGUGACCGGCGACAUGGGGACUGAGGGACGCACCAGACGCCUACGGUAGGCAGCAGGGGAAAAUCUUACGCAGUGGGCGGAAGCCUGAUGCAACAGCGCCGCGUGCGUGAUGCCGGCUUUCGGGUGGUAAACCGCUUUCGCCUGUGACGAAGCGUGAGUGACGGUAAUGGGUAAGGAAGCACCGGCUAACUACGUG